This 253-nucleotide ribosomal RNA is filed under the name uncultured bacterium. RNAcentral describes it as "partial 16S ribosomal RNA". It matches the Rfam family "Bacterial small subunit ribosomal RNA", at positions 524 to 776 of the family's 1533-position model. The record is from RNAcentral.
UACGUAGGGGGCAAGCGUUGUCCGGAUUUAUUGGGCGUAAAGAGCGUGUAGGCGGCCAGACAGGUCCGUUGUGAAAACUGGAGGCUCAACCUCCAGCUGUCGAUGGAAACCGUUUGGCUAGAGUCCGGAAGAGGAGAGUGGAAUUCCCGGUGUAGGGGUGAAAUGCGCAGAUAUCGGGAAGAACACCCGUGGCGAAGGCGGCUCUCUGGGACGGUACUGACGCUGAGACGCGAAAGCGUGGGGAGCGAACAGG